AUGAACGCUGGCGAUAGGCCUAACACAUGCAAGUCGAGGGGCAGCAUAGAGUAGCAAUACUUGAUGGCGACCGGCGCACGGGUGAGUAACACGUAUGCAACCUACCUACAUCAGGGGAAUAACCCGGAGAAAUUCGGACUAAUACCGCAUAAUACAGGGAUGCCGCAUGGCAAUAUUUGUUAAAGAUUUAUCGGAUGUAGAUGGGCAUGCGUUCCAUUAGCUAGUUGGUGAGGUAACGGCUCACCAAGGCAACGAUGGAUAGGGGAACUGAGAGGUUUGUCCCCCACACUGGAACUGAGACACGGACCAGACUCCUACGGGAGGCAGCAGUGAGGAAUAUUGGUCAAUGGACGAGAGUCUGAACCAGCCAAAUCGCGUGAAGGAAAGACUGCCCUACGGGUUGUAAACUUCUUUUGUACAGGAAUAAAAGACAUUACGUGUAAUGUAUUGCAUGUACUGUACGAAUAAGCAUCGGCUAACUCCGUGCCAGCCGCUGC
This 497-nucleotide ribosomal RNA is filed under the name uncultured bacterium. RNAcentral describes it as "bacterial SSU rRNA". It matches the Rfam family "Bacterial small subunit ribosomal RNA", at positions 29 to 518 of the family's 1533-position model. The record is from RNAcentral.